This 253-nucleotide ribosomal RNA is filed under the name uncultured bacterium. RNAcentral describes it as "partial 16S ribosomal RNA". It matches the Rfam family "Bacterial small subunit ribosomal RNA", at positions 524 to 776 of the family's 1533-position model. The record is from RNAcentral.
UACGUAGGGUGCGAGCGUUGUCCGGAAUUACUGGGCGUAAAGAGCUCGUAGGUGGUUUGUCGCGUUGUCCGUGAAAACUCACAGCUCAACUGUGGGCGUGCGGGCGGUACGGGCAGACUGGAGUACUGCAGGGGAGACUGGAAUUCCUGGUGUAGCGGUGAAAUGCGCAGAUAUCAGGAAGAACACCCGUGGCUAAGGCGGCUCUCUAGUACGGUACUGACGCUGAGACGCGAAAGCGUGGGGAGCGAACAGG